This 709-nucleotide ribosomal RNA is filed under the name uncultured marine alveolate. Its description in RNAcentral is "SSU rRNA". It matches the Rfam family "Eukaryotic small subunit ribosomal RNA", at positions 618 to 1331 of the family's 1831-position model. The record is from RNAcentral.
GUUAAAAAGCUCGUAGUUGGAUUUCUGUCGAGAACGGCCGGUCCGCACUAUGUGCGUGUAUCUGGUUCGGUCUUGGCAUCCUCUUGGAGAACGUAACUGCGCUUGAUUGCGUGGUGCGGUAUUCAAGACUUUUACUUUGAGGAAAUUAGAGUGUUCACGGCAGGCAAGCGCCUUGAAUAUAUUAGCAUGGAAUAAUAAUAUAGGAUCUCGGUUCUAUUUUGUUGGUUUCUAGAAUCAGGAUAAUGAUUAAUAGGGAUAAUUGGGGGCAUUUGUAUUAACGCGUCAGAGGUGGAAUUCUUGGAUUGCGUUACGACAAACUACUGCGAAAGCAUUUGCCAAGGAUGUUUUCAUUGAUCAAGAACGAAAGUAUGGGGAUCGAAGAUGAUUAGAUACCGUCGUAGUCUAUACCAUAAACUAUGCCAACUAGAGAUUGGAGGUCGUUCUUUUUAUGACUCCUUCAGCACCUUAUGAGAAAUCAAAGUCUUUGGGUUCCGGGGGGAGUAUGGUCGCAAGGCUGAAACUUAAAGGAAUUGACGGAAGGGCACCACCAGGAGUGGAGCCUGCAGCUUAAUUUGACUCAACACGGGAAAACUCACCAGGUCCAGACAUAGUAAGGAUUGACAGAUUGAUAGCUCUUUCUUGAUUCUACGGGUGGUGGUGCAUGGCCGUUCUUAGUUGGUGGAGUGAUUUGUCUGGUUUAUUCCGAUAA